GUGCUCACUUCAGCAGCAUAUAUACUAAAAUUGGAAUGAUACAGAGAAGAUUAACAUGGCCCCUGCACAAGGAUGACAUGAUUAAAAAUUUU
RNAcentral lists this small nuclear RNA (92 nucleotides) under Nomascus leucogenys (northern white-cheeked gibbon). Lineage: Eukaryota; Metazoa; Chordata; Mammalia; Primates; Hylobatidae. The record is from RNAcentral.